RNAcentral lists this unclassified non-coding RNA (332 nucleotides) under soil metagenome. RNAcentral's name for it is "partial contains 5.8S ribosomal RNA, internal transcribed spacer 2, and large subunit ribosomal RNA". The stretch from base 1 to 120 matches the Rfam family "5.8S ribosomal RNA", at positions 35 to 154 of the family's 154-position model. The record is from RNAcentral.
GAUGUAGAACGCAGCGAAAUGCGAUAAGUAGUGUGAAUUGCAGAAUUCAGUGAAUCAUCGAAUCUUUGAACGCACAUUGCGCCCUUUGGUAUUCCUUAGGGCAUGCCUGUUCGAGCGUCAUUUAAACCUUCAAGCUAAGCUUGGUGUUGGGUGACUGUCCGCUUCACGGCGGACUCGCCUCAAAAUUAUUGGCGGCCGGUACAUUGGCUUCGAGCGCAGCAGAAACGCGAACUCGGGCCCGUCGUAUUGGCUCCCAGAAGCUAUCUUCACAAUUUUGACCUCGGAUCAGGUAGGGAUACCCGCUGAACUUAAGCAUAUCAAUAAGCGGAGGA